This 468-nucleotide ribosomal RNA is filed under the name uncultured bacterium. RNAcentral's name for it is "partial 16S ribosomal RNA". It matches the Rfam family "Bacterial small subunit ribosomal RNA", at positions 28 to 507 of the family's 1533-position model. The record is from RNAcentral.
GACGAACGCUGGCGGCGUGCUUAACACAUGCGAGUCGAACGGAAAGGCCCUGCUUUUGUGGGGUGCUCGAGUGGCGAACGGGUGAGUAACACGUGAGUAACCUGCCCUUGACUUUGGGAUAACUUCAGGAAACUGGGGCUAAUACCGGAUAGGAGCUCCUGCUGCAUGGUGGGGGUUGGAAAGUUUCGGCGGUUGGGGAUGGACUCGCGGCUUAUCAGCUUGUUGGUGGGGUAGUGGCUUACCAAGGCUUUGACGGGUAGCCGGCCUGAGAGGGUGACCGGCCACAUUGGGACUGAGAGACGGCCCAGACUCCUACGGGAGGCAGCGGUGGGGAAUAUUGCACAAUGGGCGGAAGCCUGAUGCAGCAACGCCGCGUGCGGGAUGACGGCCUUCGGGUUGUAAACCGCUUUCGCCUGUGACGAAGCGUGAGUGACGGUAAUGGGUAAAGAAGCACCGGCUAACUACGUG